GUGAGGAAUAUUGGUCAAUGGACGGAAGUCUGAACCAGCCAUGCCGCGUGCAGGAAUAAGGUCCUAUGGAUUGUAAACUGCUUUUAUUCGGGAAUAAACCUCUUUACGUGUAGGGAGCUGAAGGUACCGAAGGAAUAAGCACCGGCUAACUCCGUGCCAGCAGCCGCGGUAAUACGGAGGGUGCAAGCGUUAUCCGGAAUCAUUGGGUUUAAAGGGUCCGCAGGCGGGCUAUCAAGUCAGAGGUGAAAUCCCAAAGCUUAACUGUGGAACUGCCUUUGAAACUGAUGGUCUUGAAUUAAGUGGGCGUUGGCGGAAUAUGACAUGUAGCGGUGAAAUGCAUAGAUAUGUCAUGGAACACCGAAAGCGAAGGCAGCUAACGAUACUUAUAUUGACGCUCAUGGACGAAAGCGUGGGUAGCGAACAGGAUUAGAAACCCUAGUAGUCC
This 445-nucleotide ribosomal RNA is filed under the name uncultured bacterium. RNAcentral's name for it is "partial 16S ribosomal RNA". It matches the Rfam family "Bacterial small subunit ribosomal RNA", at positions 354 to 796 of the family's 1533-position model. The record is from RNAcentral.